AUUGAACGCUGGCGGCAGGCCUAACACAUGCAAGUCGAACGAGUGGCGGACGGGUGAGUAAUGUCUGGGAAACUGCCCGAUGGAGGGGGAUAACUACUGGAAACGGUAGCUAAUACCGCAUACCAUCGGAUGUGCCCAGAUGGGAUUAGCUUGUAGGUGAGGUAACGGCUCACCUAGGCGACGAUCCCUAGCUGGUCUGAGAGGAUGACCAGGCACUAUGGAACUGAGACACGGUCCAGACGACGACGUGAGGCAGAAGUGGGGAAGAUUGCACAAUGGGAGCAAGUCUGAUGCAGCCAUGCCGCGUGUAUGAAGAAGUCCGUCGAGUUGUAAAGUACUUUCAGCGGGGAGGCGUUACCCGCAGAAGAAGCACCGGCUAACUCCGUGCCAGCAGCCGCGGUAAUUC
This 406-nucleotide ribosomal RNA is filed under the name uncultured bacterium. RNAcentral's name for it is "partial 16S ribosomal RNA". It matches the Rfam family "Bacterial small subunit ribosomal RNA", at positions 30 to 526 of the family's 1533-position model. The record is from RNAcentral.